Molecule: ribosomal RNA, 1833 nt
Filed under: Triticum aestivum (bread wheat)
Lineage: Eukaryota; Viridiplantae; Streptophyta; Magnoliopsida; Poales; Poaceae
Description: partial small subunit ribosomal RNA
Source: RNAcentral
AUGGCGGGCUGGACCAGUGAUAGUGAUGACAGUGAUAAGUUUGAGUGGGACAAUGAUGGUGUGGCUGAGCCCUCAUCGGCUCCGGCUAUGAGGAACUUCGAUUCUCCUGGCCCAUCCACGCUUGGUUCUAAUGAGUGGAUCAACGGGGAAGUGCUGCCUACUUCUUUGAUCGAGCGAUAUGUGGUAAUGGGCUUCCCCAAAGAGAUGGUCAUGAAGAGUAUUAAGGAGAUUGGACAUAGUGAUGCAGAUGCACUGCUCGAGCUACUGCUCACAUAUAAGGCACUAGAUGACGAUGAUGCAGGGGGUAAUAAUCACUCUACUUCUGGCUGCAUCCUCCCUGUUGUUGAAGAUGACGAUGAUCUUGAUUUUGAGAACUGGGAUGGCGAUGAUGAUGCUGGUGGUAGAGAGUCAAGCUCUGAUGAUUCUGGUUAUGAGAUAGAUGAUUACUUAUCUUCAGAUUUUCUGCGAGAGAUGUCAGAGAGGGAUGAGAAGAUCAAGUCAUUGGUAAACAUGGGCUUUUCUGAAGAUGAAGCAAAUGAGGCUAUUAUAAGAUGUGGUGUGGAUGCUGAUAUCUGUGUAUUAGUUGAUUCGGUUAGUGCAUCUCGGGUCGCAGAAGAUUGUCAUUCCAGAAACUUAUCUGACCAUCAGGUUACAGACAGAUGCUUCAAUUCCUUUGGAGGCAGAAAGAAAGCAAGAUUGAUGGAAGAGAGCAGGAAAAAGAGGAAGAGGUAUGGGGGUGGAGGACAAGGCAAUCGACCUUCCUUGGAUGGCAGCGAUGAGGAUUCAAUGCCUCUACCAAAUCCAAUGGUUGGAUUUAACCUGCCUGGUUACAGUGGACCAUCAGUGACCCGAAUGCUUUCUAAACUAGAUACCGGACCACCUUUUUUCUAUUACGAAAAUGUGGCCCGAGCUCCAAAAGGUGAAUGGGCGAAAAUUUCAAGAAAUCUGUUUGACAUUCAGCCAGAGUUUGUGGAUUCUCUUCAUCUGUGUGCAGCUGCAAGGAAAAGGGGUUACAUCCACAAUUUGCCAAUUGAGAACAGAUCGCCUCUUCUUCCUCUGCCCCCAAAGACAAUAUUUGAGGCAUUUCCUCAUUACAAGAAGUGGUGGCCUUCCUGGGACACGAGAACACAUCUCAAUUGCUUACAAACAUGUGUAGCAAGUGCAAAGCUGACAGACCGGAUCCAGCGUGCUCUUGUAAGCUCAAGCAAUCCGCCGACAAAAAGUGUUCAAAAAUAUGUCAUGGACGAGUGCAAAAAAUGGAAUCUUGUCUGGGUUGGGAAAAACAAGGUUGCCCCAUUGGAGCCUGAUGAGAUGGAAUAUAUACUUGGUUUCCCUAGGGACCACACAAGGGGGGUUGGCAAGACACAGCGAUACAAGUCUCUCGGCAACUCAUUUCAAGUUGAUACAGUUGCUUACCACUUGUCAGUGCUGAGGCGCAUGUUUCCCAAUGGUGUUCGUGUGCUGUCCUUAUUCACCGGUAUUGGAGGAGGAGAGGUAGCUCUGCACAAGCUUGGGAUCCACAUGAGGGUAGUGGUUUCGGUUGAGAUAGGUGAAGCUAGUAAGAAGAUUUUCAAAAGUUGGUGGGAUCAGACCCAGACAGGCACAUUGAUUGAGAUUACUGAUGUGAAAUCUCUCACAAAUGAUAGAGUUGCAUCAUUUAUUAGUCAAUUUGGUGGCUUUGACUUGGUGAUUGGGGGCAGCCCAUGUAACAAUCUUGCCGGAAGCAACCGACACCACCGUGAUGGCUUGGAGGGCAAGCACUCAGCUUUGUUUUAUGACUAUGUCAGAAUCUUGAAUUUCGUCAAGUCGGCCAUGGGAGGACGUAGGAUGUAG